This 227-nucleotide long non-coding RNA is filed under the name Capsicum annuum. RNAcentral describes it as "long non-coding RNA (CANN_LNC003155)". Lineage: Eukaryota; Viridiplantae; Streptophyta; Magnoliopsida; Solanales; Solanaceae. The record is from RNAcentral.
UUAGAUUUAAGAAAAAUAAGUUGGUUUGGAAAAUAUUUUUCAAAAUAUAUAAGUCAAUUAAACAUAAGAAAACUGAAAAACAUUUUCUGAAAAAUAUUUUUCGUCACACCAAACACACCCUUUUAAGUACUAGUAUUUUGCACAUGAAGCUUAAAGAUGAACAAGUAAAAAGAAAUUUAUCACAUGUAAUUUUAACUUCUGAUUAUGAUAUAAUUAAGUCAUAAAAA